This 253-nucleotide ribosomal RNA is filed under the name uncultured bacterium. Its description in RNAcentral is "partial 16S ribosomal RNA". It matches the Rfam family "Bacterial small subunit ribosomal RNA", at positions 524 to 776 of the family's 1533-position model. The record is from RNAcentral.
GACGAAGGGGGCUAGCGUUGUUCGGAAUUACUGGGCGUAAAGCGUAUGCAGGCGGACUUUUAAGUCGGGGGUGAAAUCCCGAGGCUCAACCUCGGAACUGCCUUCGAUACUGGAAGUCUUGAGUCCGGGAGAGGUGAGUGGAACUCCGAGUGUAGAGGUGAAAUUCGUAGAUAUUCGGAAGAACACCAGUGGCGAAGGCGGCUCACUGGCCCGGUACUGACGCUGAGGUGCGAAAGCGUGGGGAGCAAACAGG